UGAACCGGGCAACGCCGGGAAUCGAACCCGGGCCGCCCGCGUGGCAGGCGAGCAUUCUACCACUGAACCACCGAUGC
Non-coding RNA from Cordylochernes scorpioides, 77 nucleotides. NCBI's taxonomy places the organism in Eukaryota, Metazoa, Arthropoda, Arachnida, Pseudoscorpiones, Chernetidae. The record is from the annotation of a GenBank genome assembly.